GCAGAGCUCAAACCUCGUACCUUUUGCAUCAUGAUUUAGCCAGUAACCCUCAAGCAAAGCGUACUUUAGUUUGAUUUCCCGAAACUACGCGAGCUACUCCAAGACAGCCUGUUUAUAGGGCAAACCCGUCUCUGUGGCAAAAGAGUGGGAAGAUCUUUGAGUAGAGGUGACAGACCUAUCGAGCCUAGUUAUAGCUGGUUGCCUAAAAAAUGAAUAGAAGUUCAGCCUCUCGGCUUCUUCCCAAACCUAGAGAGUUAUUCAAAGGGGGUACAGCCCCUUCGAAACAAGACACAACUUUUUUAGAAGGUUAAAGAUCACACCUCACCCCAAGGUGAAAUGUUCGAGUGGGCCUAAAAGCAGCCACCUCCCAGAAAGCGUUAAAGCUCAGACAUUCAAUCCUGCCAAAACAAUCUUAAACCUCUAAGUCUUAUUAGGCCCUCCCAUGCCCCCAUGGGAGUGACCAUGCUAGAAUGAGUAACAAGAAAAGCUUUUCUCCCUGCACAAGUGUAUAUCGGAACGAACAAAGCUCCGAAUCUUAACGAACCCAAACAAAGAGGGCACUAAAUACCAGCAAGAAAACCAUUUACCGUUAACCCCACACUGGCGUGCAUCUUAGGGACGACUAAAAGAAAAAGAAGGAACUCGGCAAACAAGCCUCGCCUGUUUACCAAAAACAUCGCCUCUUGCACAAAUAAGAGGUCCCGCCUGCCCAGUGACUAUAUGUUCAACGGCCGCGGUAUUUUGACCGUGCGAAGGUAGCGCAAUCACUUGUCUUUUAAAUGAAGACCUGUAUGAAUGGCACGACGAGGGCUUGACUGUCUCCUUUUUCCAGUCAGUGAAAUUGAUCCCCCCGUGCAGAAGCGGGGAUUUAAACAUAAGACGAGAAGACCCUAUGGAGCUUUAGACUCUUCGAGCAGACUAUGUUAAACACUCUUUAACAAAAGACUAAACAGUAUAGGCCCUACUCUAAUGUCUUUGGUUGGGGCGACCCUGGGGAAAAACAAAACCCCCAUGAAGACAGGAAGAACUCCCACAAACAAGAGCUACGGCUCUAGUUAACAGAACCUCUGACUUACAUGAUCCGGCCUACGCCGAUCAACGGACCGAGUUACCCUAGGGAUAACAGCGCAAUCCUCUUUUAGAGCUCAUAUCGACAAGGGGGUUUACGACCUCGAUGUUGGAUCAGGACAUCCUAAUGGUGCAG
RNAcentral lists this ribosomal RNA (1204 nucleotides) under Gerres cinereus (yellow fin mojarra). Its description in RNAcentral is "partial 16S ribosomal RNA". It matches the Rfam family "Bacterial large subunit ribosomal RNA", at positions 585 to 2558 of the family's 2925-position model. The record is from RNAcentral. Lineage: Eukaryota; Metazoa; Chordata; Actinopteri; Gerreiformes; Gerreidae.